UGGGGGAUAUUGCACAAUGGGGGAAACCCUGAUGCAGCGACGCCGCGUGAGUGAAGAAGUAUUUCGGUAUGUAAAGCUCUAUCAGCAGGGAAGAAAAUGACGGUACCUGACUAAGAAGCCCCGGCUAACUACGUGCCAGCAGCCGCGGUAAUACGUAGGGGGCAAGCGUUAUCCGGAUUUACUGGGUGUAAAGGGAGCGUAGACGGCAAGACAAGCCAGAUGUGAAAGGCAGGGGCUCAACCCCUGGACUGCAUUUGGAACUGCCUGGCUAGAGUGUCGGAGAGGUAAGUGGAAUUCCUAGUGUAGCGGUGAAAUGCGUAGAUAUUAGGAGGAACACCAGUGGCGAAGGCGGCUUACUGGACGACAACUGACGUUGAGGCUCGAAAGCGUGGGGAGCAAACAGG
Molecule: ribosomal RNA, 404 nt
Filed under: uncultured prokaryote
Also listed under: 1 other name
Description: bacterial SSU rRNA
Rfam family: Bacterial small subunit ribosomal RNA
Source: RNAcentral